Orchesella cincta is the source of this 119-nucleotide ribosomal RNA. The record is from Rfam. NCBI's taxonomy places the organism in Eukaryota, Metazoa, Arthropoda, Collembola, Entomobryomorpha, Orchesellidae.
GCCAACGGCCAUACCACGUUGAACACACCAGUUCUCGUCCGAUCACUGAAGUUAAGCAACGUCGGGCCCGGUUAGUACUUGGAUGGGUGACCGCCUGGGAACCCCGGGUGCUGUUGGUA